RNAcentral lists this long non-coding RNA (207 nucleotides) under Lathyrus oleraceus (garden pea). RNAcentral describes it as "Pisum sativum (pea) long non-coding RNA (PSAT_LNC038449)". Lineage: Eukaryota; Viridiplantae; Streptophyta; Magnoliopsida; Fabales; Fabaceae. The record is from RNAcentral.
UUUAACCAAAGCGCAAACGAUCAUGCGGGACGCAAUUAUUCGUUUCAAUCCCUCUUUUGCCUGGACCGCCCUUUCGGGUUUUCAGUCCACCGGGAUACCCUUUUUUGCCCAAGUCGCCUCUUCAGGUUUUCGACUUGCCGGGUGUACAUUUUUUCUUUUUAUCCCUAAUUUUUGCCCGAACCUUCUUCAUUCUGUAUUUUGGUUCGC